RNAcentral lists this transfer RNA (75 nucleotides) under Alphaproteobacteria bacterium. RNAcentral describes it as "tRNA-Gly". It matches the Rfam family "tRNA". From Rfam's summary of the family: Transfer RNA (tRNA) molecules are approximately 80 nucleotides in length. Their secondary structure includes four short double-helical elements and three loops (D, anti-codon, and T loops). Further hydrogen bonds mediate the characteristic L-shaped molecular structure. tRNAs have two regions of fundamental functional importance: the anti-codon, which is responsible for specific mRNA codon recognition, and the 3' end, to which the tRNAs corresponding amino acid is attached (by aminoacyl-tRNA synthetases). tRNAs cope with the degeneracy of the genetic code in two manners: having more than one tRNA (with a specific anti-codon) for a particular amino acid; and 'wobble' base-pairing, i.e. permitting non-standard base-pairing at the 3rd anti-codon position. The record is from RNAcentral. Lineage: Bacteria; Pseudomonadati; Pseudomonadota; Alphaproteobacteria.
GCGGGAAUAGCUCAGUGGUAGAGCACAACCUUGCCAAGGUUGGGGUCGAGGGUUCGAAUCCCUUUUCCCGCUCCA